Molecule: long non-coding RNA, 1165 nt
Organism: Andrographis paniculata
Lineage: Eukaryota; Viridiplantae; Streptophyta; Magnoliopsida; Lamiales; Acanthaceae
Exons: 2
Source: RefSeq, a predicted model, not a curated record
GGAAGAUCCAAAUAAAAGUUUGUUUUUUAGUUGAUGCGAAAACUGGAAAGCAGUCACAUCAUAUCGAUCAUCAGCCGUACAAUCCGAUCCGAUUCAACAUCCCCUGUUGCGCCACGUAGCCCAAAUCAAUCCUGACCGCCGAUGAGUUGACGACAUCUCCAGACCCUCUCCCUCUUUCUCUCUCUCUCUCUCUCUCUCACCCGCAGCAAAAACUGCAGUAAUCUUAAUAAUGAUCAAUCAAUUCCUGGACGGGCACGAAAUGAGCCACAAAUGGUGCCGCACAAUAAAAGAAACAAACAAUUAGGUUUUGAUCGGCCUUCGAUGCACAGAUCUGACUGUUUGAUGCACUGACUGAUACUUUCAUGGCUCUAUUUUUUGAGAAAGAAAAAUGUAAGUUUUUUUUUGUUAUUUGUUAUUAAUUAUCAGGAGAAGUACAAGAAAAGAGUGGAUCGAAAAUGGGGGGAGAGGUACAGAGGGAAUCAGACUGACAGAAGAGAGUGAGCACACGUAGACAAUUUGUAUAAAAGAGUAUACCCUUUGUUUUAUACAUGUGCUCAUUCCUCUUCUGUCGGCUCUCUCCUAAUCCCUAAUCUUCAUUCGAAUUUGGGCCUUCUCGCCAUUUUUAUUUACCUCAAGAGCCUGUCACAUCGAUACGUGUUUGUUUCUUACCUAGGAAGGACUUGAAGAAGCCCCUGUUCUAUCAUUGUUUCUUGAUGUGAUUUUAAAUUAUUAUUUUUUAAAAAACCAUUAAAGAAAGAGUGCAGUGAUAUAUAGGGUUAUUGUGAAAUGUUGCUUUUAAUGUAUCUGUCGGAGAGGACACUCGGGAAGGACCCAAAGGUACACCUAACUUGUUGCUACAGUAUUUGCUUAACAGAUAAAUAUUUGUAUUUCUUUUCCUGCCUGUUUUUGUGCCCCAAAGGAAUUCUUUCUUUUUGCAGCAAUAAAGGAGGGCAGAAAUUUUUAUAAAAUCUCAUUUCUUUUCUGUCUUUCUUGCUUCUGUUUCUAAUCUGAUAUGGUUAUGAAUCUGAAUCUGCUAUGUUAUUUUAUGUGAUUUUUCAGUUGUGGAUUUAAGUUAUGGCGAUAUUUGUUUCCUGUUCUAUUCGAUUGUGUGUAAGGAAUAAUUAUCUUGUCUGAAGAAAAUAAGGUUAAGUUUCUGAAUAUUCAA